RNAcentral lists this ribosomal RNA (497 nucleotides) under uncultured bacterium. Its description in RNAcentral is "partial 16S ribosomal RNA". It matches the Rfam family "Bacterial small subunit ribosomal RNA", at positions 28 to 507 of the family's 1533-position model. The record is from RNAcentral.
GAUGAACGCUGGCGGCGUGCCUAAUACAUGCAAGUCGAGCGAACGGACGAGAAGCUUGCUUUUCUGAUGUUAGCGGCGGACGGGUGAGUAACACGUGGAUAACCUACCUAUAAGACUGGGAUAACUUCGGGAAACCGGAGCUAAUACCGGAUAAUAUUUUGAACCGCAUGGUUCAAAAGUGAAAGACGGUCUUGCUGUCACUUAUAGAUGGAUCCGCGCUGCAUUAGCUAGUUGGUAAGGUAACGGCUUACCAAGGCAACGAUGCAUAGCCGACCUGAGAGGGUGAUCGGCCACACGGGAACUGAGACACGGUCCAUGCUCCUACGGGAGGCAGCAGUAGGGAAUCUUCCGCAAUGGGCGAAAGCCUGACGGAGCAACGCCGCGUGAGUGAUGAAGGUCUUCGGAUCGUAAAACUCUGUUAUUAGGGAAGAACAUAUGUGUAAGUAACUGUGCACAUCUUGACGGUACCUAAUCAGAAAGCCACGGCUAACUACGUG